AGAGGACGCUGGCGGUAGGCCUAACACAUGCAAGUCGAACGGCAGCACAGGAGAGCUUGCUCUCUGGGUGGCGAGUGGCGGACGGGUGAGGAAUACAUCGGAAUCUACCUUUUCGUGGGGGAUAACGUAGGGAAACUUACGCUAAUACCGCAUACGUCUUACGGGAGAAAGCGGGGGAUCGAAAGACCUCGCGCGGCGGG
Molecule: ribosomal RNA, 200 nt
Filed under: uncultured bacterium
Lineage: Bacteria
Description: partial 16S ribosomal RNA
Rfam family: Bacterial small subunit ribosomal RNA
Source: RNAcentral